GAUGAAGAACUUAGCGAAAUGCGAUACGUAAUGUGAAUUGCAAAUUCAGUGAAUCAUCGAGUCUUUGAACGCACAUUGCGCCCCCUGGUAUUCCGGGGGGCAUGCCUGUCCGAGCGUCAUUGCUGCCCUCAAGCACGGCUUGUGUGUUGGGCCCCGUCCUCCGAUCCCGGGGGACGGGCCCGAAAGGCAGCGGCGGCACCGCGUCCGGUCCUCGAGCGUAUGGGGCUUUGUCACCCGCUCUGUAGGCCCGGCCGGCGCUUGCCGAUCAACCCAAAUUUUUUAUCCAGGUUGACCUCGGAUCAGGUAGGGAUACCCGCUGAACUUAAGCAUAUCAAUAGCGGAGGA
RNAcentral lists this unclassified non-coding RNA (345 nucleotides) under soil metagenome. RNAcentral's name for it is "partial contains 5.8S ribosomal RNA, internal transcribed spacer 2, and large subunit ribosomal RNA". The stretch from base 1 to 119 matches the Rfam family "5.8S ribosomal RNA", at positions 35 to 154 of the family's 154-position model. The record is from RNAcentral.